RNAcentral lists this unclassified non-coding RNA (265 nucleotides) under Hevea brasiliensis (rubber tree). The record is from RNAcentral. Lineage: Eukaryota; Viridiplantae; Streptophyta; Magnoliopsida; Malpighiales; Euphorbiaceae.
GAGAAAAACUGAAUUUAAAGCUCAACAACAAUAAGAAAUAGCACAAGAGUAAGGGCAACUACAAGAAGAAAUGGCCAACAAUAAUAACAACUGUUCUGUGAAGGAUCACGCCUAUCCUAACACUGGGGAUUUCAAGCCAAGUAUCACAAGACCAAGAGUAGAAGCUAAUAAUUUUGAAUUAAAGCCUGCACUCUGUCAGAUGGUACAACAAUCACAAUUUGGAAGAAAUCCAAGUGAAAGCCCACAUGUGCAUCUAGCACACUUU